This 257-nucleotide long non-coding RNA is filed under the name Gossypium barbadense (sea-island cotton). RNAcentral's name for it is "long non-coding RNA (GBAR_LNC012712)". Lineage: Eukaryota; Viridiplantae; Streptophyta; Magnoliopsida; Malvales; Malvaceae. The record is from RNAcentral.
CCCUUCGGGACUUAUCACAUUUAUGCACUUUCACAUCCAUCACGUUGGCCACUCGGCCCUGUCACAUAUAUACACUUUCACAUUCAUCACAUCGGCCAUUAGGCCUUAUUACAUAUAUACACUUUCACAUUCAUCACAUCGGCUAUUAGGCCUUAUCACAUAUAUACACUUUCACAUUCAUCACAUCGGCUAUUAGGCCUUAUCACAUAUAUACACUUUCACAUUCAUCACAUCGGCUAUUAGGCCUUAUCACACAU